AUUGAACGCUGGCGGCAGGCCUAACACAUGCAAGUCGAACGGUAACAGGAAACAGCUUGCUGUUUCGCUGACGAGUGGCGGACGGGUGAGUCAUGUCUGGGAAACUGCCUGAUGGAGGGGGAUAACUACUGGAAACGGUAGCUAAUACCGCAUAACGUCGCAAGACCAAAGAGGGGGACCUUCGGGCCUCUUGCCAUCGGAUGUGCCCAGAUGGGAUUAGCUAGUAGGUGGGGUAACGGCUCACCUAGGCGACGAUCCCUAGCUGGUCUGAGAGGAUGACCAGCCACACUGGAACUGAGACACGGUCCAGACUCCUACGGGAGGCAGCAGUGGGGAAUAUUGCACAAUGGGCGCAAGCCUGAUGCAGCCAUGCCGCGUGUAUGAAGAAGGCCUUCGGGUUGUAAAGUACUUUCAGCGGGGAGGAAGGGAGUAAAGUUAAUACCUUUACUCAUUGACGUUAACCGCAGAAGAAGCACCGGCUAACUCCGUG
Molecule: ribosomal RNA, 490 nt
Filed under: uncultured bacterium
Lineage: Bacteria
Description: partial 16S ribosomal RNA
Rfam family: Bacterial small subunit ribosomal RNA
Source: RNAcentral